This 467-nucleotide ribosomal RNA is filed under the name uncultured bacterium. Its description in RNAcentral is "partial 16S ribosomal RNA". It matches the Rfam family "Bacterial small subunit ribosomal RNA", at positions 28 to 506 of the family's 1533-position model. The record is from RNAcentral.
GACGAACGCUGGCGGCGUGCUUAACACAUGCAAGUCGAACGGAAAGGCCCUGCUUUUGUGGGGUGCUCGAGUGGCGAACGGGUGAGUAACACGUGAGUAACCUGCCCUUGACUUUGGGAUAACUUCAGGAAACUGGGGCUAAUACCGGAUAGGAGCUCCUGCUGCAUGGUGGGGGUUGGAAAGUUUCGGCGGUUGGGGAUGGACUCGCGGCUUAUCAGCUUGUUGGUGGGGUAGUGGCUUACCAAGGCUUUGACGGGUAGCCGGCCUGAGAGGGUGACCGGCCAAAUGGGGAAUGAGAAAGGGCCCAGACUCCGACGGGGGGCAGAAGGGGGGAAUAUUGCAAAAUGGGCGGAAGCCGGAUGAAGCAACGCCGCGUGGGGGAAGACGGCCUUGGGGUUGUAAACCGCUUUCGCCUGGGACGAAGGGGGGGUGACGGUAAUGGGUAAAGAAACACCGGCUAAAUACGU